UACAGAGGGUGCGAGCGUUGUCCGGAAUCACUGGGCGUAAAGGGCGCGUAGGCGGCCUGGUAAGUAGGGGGUGAAAUCCUGCGGCUUAACCGCAGGGCUGCCUUCUAAACUGUCAGGCUCGAGCACAGUAGAGGCAGGUGGAAUUCCCGGUGUAGCGGUGGAAUGCGUAGAGAUCGGGAAGAACAUCAGUGGCGAAGGCGGCCUGCUGGGCUGUUGCUGACGCUGAGGCGCGACAGCGUGGGGAGCAAACAGG
This 253-nucleotide ribosomal RNA is filed under the name uncultured bacterium. Its description in RNAcentral is "partial 16S ribosomal RNA". It matches the Rfam family "Bacterial small subunit ribosomal RNA", at positions 524 to 776 of the family's 1533-position model. The record is from RNAcentral.